GACGAACCGAGCGAACGUUGUUCGGAAUCACUGGGCUUAAAGGGCGCGUAGGCGGGCAGUUAAGUCUGCGGUGAAAUCCUCCAGCUCAACUGGAGAACUGCCGUGGAUACUGGCUGUCUCGAGGAAGGUAGGGGCGUGUGGAACUAUCGGUGGAGCGGUGAAAUGCGUUGAUAUCGAUAGGAACUCCGGUGGCGAAGGCGACACGCUGGACCUUUUCUGACGCUGAGGCGCGAAAGCCAGGGGAGCAAACGGG
Molecule: ribosomal RNA, 253 nt
Filed under: uncultured bacterium
Lineage: Bacteria
Description: partial 16S ribosomal RNA
Rfam family: Bacterial small subunit ribosomal RNA
Source: RNAcentral